GAGAGCACAGUACGAUGAAAGUUGUAAGCUGUGUUCGGGGGGAGUUAUUGUCUAUCGUCGAGUUUGUUGAUUCUCGGAUACGAAGAUAUCAAAUGGGCUACAUCAAACUCGCAU
Molecule: non-coding RNA, 114 nt
Filed under: Helianthus annuus (common sunflower)
Lineage: Eukaryota; Viridiplantae; Streptophyta; Magnoliopsida; Asterales; Asteraceae
Source: RNAcentral